CAUGAAUACAUUUUACUUUUUGAAAAAAGUGAAAUGAAUAGCCAUGUGUUUUCCACUGCUUUGCAUGAUGUACUUAUGUUGUAUUUUUUUGAAACUUGCCUAUAGGUCAGUUAUCUUCAAAUGUAAAUUCAGGAUUUGAGGAGACUCAAUAGAAAACAUGCCUUAGAACCAAUGGAGAGAUUGAUUCAGAACCAAUUGAGAGAUGGGCAUAGCUCUAUGAAGAAUAAGCCUCUCCACGUUCAACAAUCCUGUUCUCAUAGGCUUAAUGGACCCCGAUUACUCACAGGGAUGCAUAGAGUAGUCCCUUUAGGGGAAUAAUAAGGAGGAUGAUGACUUCUUGGAAUUACCUGGUCUUCGAACACAUUGCACAUGUUUGGGAAAUGGCUCAAAAUUCAGCACAUUACGGUUUUCCACAUGAAUAAUUGCAGCACGUAAAAACAGGUAUGCCUAGCAACUCUGUAUAAGGAAACACAGCUAAAAGAAAAGAAGGCAAAUGCUGUGUCCUUUUGUGUGGAAAUAUCAGAAGAAAAAAAACACUUGCUGUCUGAAAAACAUAGCAGCUUAUAAAUUCAGAUUAAUCUUAACAUAAAAGAUAAUAAAAUGCAAGUGAAUCUUGAGGGAAAACUUAACACUGAUUGCUGUAAUCUCUGUGGGACCUGUUAUGGGCUAAGCUGUGUCCCUUCAAAAUUAAUAUGUUGAAGCCCUAAACCUCAGUACCUCAGAAGGUGACUGUAUUUGGAGACAGGAUCUUUAAAGAGGUGACUCAGUUAAAUGAACCCAUUGGGAUGGAUCCUGAUUUGAUGUGACUGGUGUCCUUAGAAAAAGAGGGAACAUGGACACACAAAGAGACACCACAGAUGCAGACAAAGAGAAAAGAUCAGGUGAAGAUGAAGUGAGAAGGUGCUGUCUCAAAGCCAAGUAGGAGACUUCAGGAGAAACCAUACCUACUGACACCUUGAUCGUGGACUUCCAGCCUCCAGAACAGAGCAAUAAGGAACCAAACUUCUGUUGUUUAAGCAACUCAAUCUGUAGUACUAUAUUUUGUUAUG
RNAcentral lists this long non-coding RNA (1049 nucleotides) under Callithrix jacchus (white-tufted-ear marmoset). RNAcentral describes it as "lncRNA (ENSCJAG00000072808.1)". The record is from RNAcentral. Lineage: Eukaryota; Metazoa; Chordata; Mammalia; Primates; Cebidae.